RNA transcript from Prionailurus viverrinus (fishing cat), 3273 nucleotides. It is a transcript of the gene named pyruvate dehydrogenase phosphatase regulatory subunit, mitochondrial-like, with no coding region annotated. Lineage: Eukaryota; Metazoa; Chordata; Mammalia; Carnivora; Felidae. The transcript is spliced from 5 exons. The record is from RefSeq and is a predicted model, not a curated record.
GAGGGCCGUAAAGCGCGGAAGGUCGCGGUCUCUCCCGCUUCCCCGGAACUUUUUACUCCCUCCGCCCCGCCCCCUUCCCAUUCCCAGUGCCCCGUUUCUGGCGGCGGGACCCCCGGCAACUGUUGUGGCUGCUGUCCCGUUGCCGCCGGGGUGCUGCUGACGGCGGAGCCCGCGGCGGCCCGUGAGUUUGAAUUGGGGAGAAUCUCCUCUUUGGCCGAGUGGGAGCACAUCUCCGAGCUGCUGACUGGCAGACGUGAUGUUUUCCCGGUUGCUGUCGGUGGCCCGGAGACAAAGGACCGGCCGAGGAUGGCAGAACUGGUCGUCGGGGAGAAGCGGUGCGCCAGCUGCCGAGGCGCAUUCUGUCGCCCUGCCUGCCCAGGCACAGGUGGUCAUCUGUGGCGGUGGAAUCAUGGGCACAUCCGUGGCCUAUCACCUCUCCAAGAUGGGCUGGAAGGAUAUUGUCCUUUUGGAGCAGGGCAGGCUGGCCGCUGGCUCUACGAGGUUCUGUGCCGGCAUCCUGAGCACCGCCAGGCACUUGACCAUCGAGCAGAAGAUGGCAGACUAUUCCAACAAACUCUACCAGCAGUUAGAGCAAGAAACAGGGAUCCAAACAGGUAAGCAGGUACCCUGCCAUUUACUGGUCUGCCUGUGGCCCGGACUCUUUCACUCAGUACCAUAUGCGGUCCGACACCAAGCCUGCCUGGGGAUUUUAGUUGAGGCUUGAGUUUCAGUCCGAGCUCUGCACUCGUCCUGGUCUUACCUCGGGCAAGUGUGUGAGCGUGUUGAGCUGUCUGCCGUUUCCUUAUCUAUCGAGGGGAUUCGGUCAUUAUCUCGGAUCCUAUCCAGAUGCCAGAAUUCCUAUGAUGUGAAAGGUUUCCUGUGCCAUUUCCUAUUUCACUCUCUGAAGUAUAUAUUAGGUGGCCACAUCUGGCUCCUGAAGGAGGAAGAGAAGGAAGUGCUUAAGUUUUGGUGCUUGACAGUGAAAUCAUAGUCUGAGCCACUGAAUUUCACCAGUUGCGCUUAAGGAUAUUUGUGACUGUAAAGCUUAAGCGUAUGUUACCCCUUGUGUGCGUCCCCAAGGGAAAGGAACCCGGGGAAUCGUGAGCCGAAUACGACCGGAGCAAGUAGGACGGGGAGACCAGGCUAUGGGGCGGUCCCAUAUGAAAACAAGUAGGAAGCAGGUCUGUCAGCUUGUCGCGAGGUGACGGACUAGCCAGAAGCCCAGGGUUGAGCCUGUGUCGUAGCUGGUGAAACCGUUUGGUGGCCGCGGGAAUUGCCCUAAGCGAGUAGCUGGGCCUAGUCGCUCGUGUAGCUCAGGGCUGCUCUUCAGAACACCUGCGUGAUUCAAAUCACAGGGAAGUCAAGACCCCUCCUGACAAGGACGGUAGCUCGAUCUGUGUGCCAGCUGAGGUGGCUCUGCCAUGUGGUCACGGGGUACGCACGGCCUGUGGCUCACUUUGCCGGCCAACUGGAAAUUAUGUGGCGUAUGACACAGUUUUCACUGGGGAAGGUGAGAUUAUAAUCAUUAGAGAUUCUGACGACAGACUACGGUUUUAUAGCUUCCCUUUCAUAUAAUUCGCACUCUGGUGAAGUGUGACGUUGUUUGUCAAUUCUGGGUUAAGAUGAGCGUCCUGUAACAGGAUUGGGUAGAUGUGGCAGUGGAUAAGGGGAGAUGCCAGGAGAGGAGCUACAGGCAGGCAGGAAGAGGCUGUACGUGCUUGGGCACGUGAGCACGGUUCCCCGGCCGGCCCUAUGCUGGCCCAGUGCUGAGAGCGGGUCCUCAGCCGCCUCACCCUGGUCCCUGCCCGGUAGAUGAGCCCGACUCCCGUGGUGUCCUCGCUCUCGGCCAGGCUUGCUUUUGAGAGGCGAGGACUCGCGAGUGAAGAUGGUAAAUGUGCGUGGUGCCUGCCGCUGCACCGUCUCUGGCUUCUGUUAGGGAAGAUGCGGGAUACGUGCAGGACAGGCGGGAAGAGUCCCUCUGGGUUGGAUUUAACUUGAUGGCAACCGGUACUUGAAUCGGGUAUCUACCAGGGAUUGAGUCAGCAGAGGGUCCGUGUAAUGGGCCCAGCGCCAGAACUGCUGACUUCCGGUCCACUGGUUCAGUUCCUCGUGCUUUGCCGGGCCUUGUUUUUAUGGCUCAGAGCCCCUGCUGAGUUCCCUCCUGUGUCGGAUGCCAGAACUGGAGACUCUGGAGAUCGUGAAGUUGGUCAACUGCCCCGAGACCUUCACCCCAGACAUGAGGUGCAUCAUGGGCGAGUCUCCUGCAGUGCAGGGCUACUAUGUCCUAGUGGGAGUGAACUCUGCUGGCCUGUCGUUUGGAGGAGGGGCUUGAAGAGACAGAAAACCAAGAAGGCAGAAGGUUGGCGAAGGAUAAAAAUAGGUACGUCUAAAUAUGAGGAAGAAAGCCCAUGAAGAAAUGUGUAAUUCUCCAAGGGAUGCAGAUUCUCUGCUCAGAAGUCAAGAAUCGUAUUAUACAAUGACUAAACUCUGGUGUUUAAUGGACAAAGAGAAGGCAAAGACAUACAAAAAUAGUUCUCUUGAAAAAUAGUGCAUCUGUAGUGAUGAGGGAGUGUGAACCCAGGUCCUGUAUGGAUGAUGGAGGAGCCUUACAACUCAGCACCUUAACAUGGAGGCCAGGGUGGGGGUCGCGGGGAGAGGCACAGCCAGGAGACCCAGAGCUUGCUCCCAGACUCUGUCACCUACCCUAUCAUCCCCUCUGACAAUUCUUGACUCGUGCAAAUUUUCCCUUUUUCAUGCUGAUGAAAAGCUGCUCCUGGCAAGUUUGGGAGGGAUGUGGGUUAAGGGUGGUGUGCAGAAAGGAAAUGAAAACCAUGGAAAGUUCUUCAGUACUAAGCACUAGUGACCAAACCCCUACCUCAGAUGCUAAAGGGGACCCUUGCUGAUGAUACUGACCAUGCAGCUGCAGAGAUACAAAACACUGAACCUGGUCGCUAACCCUUAAAAGCAAAGCCAGUGCAGCUGUACCAGGACACAGCCUUCUGGGGUCAGAACCUGGACUACAGCUUAUGGAAGAUUCCCUUUUAUCUCCCUUAGGUUGUCAGAGGAUGGUGAAGACUCAGAUGCCAGCAGACGCGUUCAUCAGGCAGAGGAUAAGAAGAGCCAGAAAUCAAGGUGAUAAAACAAGACUGUCCAGUUGAUUAUGUGGACAAGACAGAAGAACACAGAGCCCCUCCCUCAAGAGACCAUAAGAAGAGAUGAAGGAUCAUUUCACAGAGAAAAAAGUACCAGCCAUCUGAAACCCAAGUCCUGCCA